CCUCGCCCCUUGCUCUACGGAUCCAAGACUUUCUUUUGUAGCUGACUCAAUCUCUAUGGAAUUAGUUGACUUAGUUACCUGGGGAUGUAAUGGACAUCUAAUUUACCACCUUACUGAACAGCUGCCCUUGCCCACCCCCACUAAAGCUUGAAUUAUGUGUUAUGGCCUUAUCCAACCCUAGCAACUUUCCUAGAGCUUAACGAGCACUUAAACUAGAGCACUUCAACAAAACUUUCAUAACUGACCUCGAAACUAGCAAUUGCGGAAUUGACCUCUAAACUGGGAAGUGUUUGGAAGUAUUUAAUAGCUCCCGAGACUUAUUAUAUAGGCCCGAUCUCUAGUGUUAACGCCUACCUCGACUACUGAUCAAGAAGCUCUUUCCUCUUUACCACAACUUUAAUAACAAGUAUGAAUUCUUUCCUAAACUAGUUUACUUAUCGCAACUCCGACAAGAGAUAGAAUCAGCAGUGCCACUUAUAUAUCUGCGGGUAGAAGACCUUUAUUUGUAUUAUAUAUAAGUACUUAUUUAAGUCCUUUCUUCAGGAGUCCUGUAUCCUGGGUUUGUUCCUUUACGGACACCGAGUCAACAACUCCCUUAUCGCUUGCUGCUUACUUACUUGAUACUGCUGAUGAUCUAGAUCUUGAAACUCAAUCUCUGAAUCGAUAACACCGUAAACUCUCUUCCUAGAAAGAACCAGACCACUCACAAUCAGGUCUUCAUGAAAGGAAUGAAACUAUAAUACAGAAUAAUGAAACUAAAGGGAUGUCAUCUAGGGCAUUAAGAGAUAGAGUCACAAAGGGAUGUCAUCUAGGGCAUAAAGAGAUAGAGUCACAAACCUAGCAAUCUCCACUCUGAAGUAGGAAUUUGACUAUGAAUUCAGAAUUGACCUCCUCCGCUCAUAAGCUUGAUCAGGCGCAUACUCAGUUGAAAGAGAAGAAGUUGCCCUUAAGUUAAUGGCGAGAGUAAAUAGGGAAGCCCAACACGAAUCCCACUAUUAAAGAAUUAGUUGUAGCUGUAUAAGAAUUAGGAUAAGCAGGAGCGGGAGCAGAAUGGAACCUCUUUCUUGCCCACCUAGUAGCUUCUUAGACUCCAUUCUCUUUUAUAGGGUAUGCCAUGUGCUAAGGGAGUGGAAUGUGCCGUCGAUUCUGGUGUCAGUACAAGCAGCAAUAGCCACGAGGUUAAUGUACCCUACGAAAGACGAAUUCAAGCACCUUAGCUAACUGUAAACCCAAAGGCAAUUAAAUAGUAUUGUUACUAAAGGGAACGCCUAAUAGAAGGAGCCGGUGCCAAGUAUAAGAAAGAGGAUAAGAGAAAACUGCUGGUACUAGUGGAUUUGCAAGCAUGUAGCAGAAAAACCAACCCUUUCUUUCAUAGUUGGUCAGCGAAUGCUGAGUACACGGGUACACCGAUCUCCUGGAAAUGCUAUCACUUUGGAAAUCGCAACUAUCAGCCUGAAACGCUGUAAAAGAAGACUCAAAGUUGCAAUAAGAGAUCCAACUCGAAACAAGGGCAGCUGACGAUGGCUACUACUUGUUGGAAUUGAACUCGGCAUCCAGAUCCUUACUUGCCCCGGUUUCACUCUUUGACUACUGCCCGAGAGGCUUACUUACUCCAAUAGGGAUAUCAAAUCAGAAUAGUAGAAUACAAUCACUGCUAACAAUACUGAAACUCGGAACUUAGACUUAAUACUUGCCCAAACAACCCGAAACCAUACUCCUCGCUCUUACUACCCUUGUUUGAAUUCAGAUAUUUACUUGUUUCAUUUACUUACCCCGGCUCUAACUCUUAGAUAUGAUGAGCUAUAAGACUAAUAUCAUAGGGUAUGUGCCUAAGAAUAUCUGUAGACUGAACUAGUGCUUAGCAAGACUUCACCUCUAGCAGAAGACAGAAUUGAACUAAUGUAAACCAAGAAUUGACUAAUGCCUAAUCAGACUGAAACAAGUCACGAAGUAUACUGGUCUAGAACUACUGGCCCAACACUAGUAUGACAGCACUUUCUCGUAGCUUGCCCCACUGGUGAGUCUGCAUAUACUGCCCUAAAACCGGACUCGUUAUCCCAUGUCUUUUCAUUUGAUGAACCCUAUAGUUGACUUACCGCG
RNAcentral lists this long non-coding RNA (2100 nucleotides) under Musa acuminata (dwarf banana). Its description in RNAcentral is "long non-coding RNA (MACU_LNC009601)". Lineage: Eukaryota; Viridiplantae; Streptophyta; Magnoliopsida; Zingiberales; Musaceae. The record is from RNAcentral.